Molecule: long non-coding RNA, 590 nt
Filed under: Anas platyrhynchos platyrhynchos (common mallard)
Lineage: Eukaryota; Metazoa; Chordata; Aves; Anseriformes; Anatidae
Description: lncRNA (ENSAPLG00000031008.1)
Source: RNAcentral
AUGCUUUUCAGAAGCAGCGCCGAGACACCAGGAAGGGGAGGCAUGACUGGUGCUCCAGCAGCACCCAGCAAACCACAGCAUGGAAUCGUGCCCUUCGUGUGCCGGGCCACCUGGGGACCGGCCUGUGCAGAAGGGGGUGACUGCAAGGAGACUUCCGACCUGCCUGCCUUUUCUUUCCAAAGCCUGACCAGGCUUGCAGCUUUCUUGUUAAGCCAAGCACAGGCUAAUCCUCUCGGCUCUGCCCUUCGAGGUACCGGCUACCCAUCAGGGAAGAGCAACGUGACUUCAUCAGCCAAGAAAAGGGGGUUACUGGGAAAGCCGCUGCAUAGCCAAGGGAGGAAGUGGAGCUGGAUUUCACACCUUAACCAAGAAAACCACUUCCAAGCUCUUAAAACCAGACCAGUGCUAGAUUCUGCAGCCUUACCUUGGGACAGCAAGUGAGCGGUGUCUUCAGGGAGCAGGAUGCAUCACCAGAGGUUCACAUGUGAUGGUGUGGUCCCCAACACGAGGGCAUUUAGAGGAUGGAAAUUUGUGAAGGACUUGGAACUCUGCUUAAUAAAACACGGUGAGAUGAAUAGGUAGGUAUAUUA